AGAGUUUGAUCAUGGCUCAGAACGAACGCUGGCGGCAUGCCUAACACAUGCAAGUCGAGCGCCCGUAGCAAUACGGGAGCGGCGCACGGGUGAGUAACGCGUGGGAACCUGCCCAGAGGUCUGGGACAACCGCGGGAAACUGCGGCUGAUACCGGAUGAUUCCUGAGGGACAAAGAUUUAUCGGUCAAGGACUAGCCCGCGUUAGAUUAGCUAGUUGGUGAGGUAAUGGCUCACCAAGGCUACGAUCUAUAGCUGGUCUGAGAGGAUGAUCAGCCACACUGGGACUGAGACACGGCCCAGACUCCUACGGGAGGCAGCAGUGAGGAAUAUUGGACAAUGGGGGCAACCCUGAUCCAGCCAUGCCGCGUGAGUGAUGAAGGCCUUCGGGUUGUAAAACUCUUUUAGAUGUGACGAUGAUGACGGUAACAUCAGAAAAAGCUCCGGCUAACUUCGUG
This 455-nucleotide ribosomal RNA is filed under the name uncultured bacterium. Its description in RNAcentral is "bacterial SSU rRNA". It matches the Rfam family "Bacterial small subunit ribosomal RNA", at positions 8 to 507 of the family's 1533-position model. The record is from RNAcentral.